GGGCCCGCACAAGCGGUGGAUUAUGUGGAUUAAUUCGAUGCAACGCGAAAAACCUUACCUGGCCUUGACAUGUAACGAACUUUCCAGAGAUGGAUUGGUGCUCGAAAGAGAACGUUAACACAGGUGCUGCAUGGCUGUCGUCAGCUCGUGUCGUGAGAUGUUGGGUUAAGUCCCGCAACGAGCGCAACCCUUGCCAUUAAUUGCCAUCAUUUAGUUGGGCACUUUAAUGGGACUGCCGGUGACAAACCGGAGGAAGGUGGGGAUGACGUCAAGUCCUCAUGGCCCUUAUGGCCAGGGCUUCACACGUAAUACAAUGGUCGGUACAGAGAGUUGCCAACCCGCGAGGGGGAGCCAAUCUCAGAAAGCCGAUCGUAGUCCGGAUUGUAGUCUGCAACUCGACUACAUGAAGUCGGAAUCGCUAGUAAUCGCGGAUCAGCAUGUCGCGGUGAAUACGUUCCCGGGCCUU
This 466-nucleotide ribosomal RNA is filed under the name uncultured bacterium. RNAcentral's name for it is "bacterial SSU rRNA". It matches the Rfam family "Bacterial small subunit ribosomal RNA", at positions 917 to 1382 of the family's 1533-position model. The record is from RNAcentral.